AUGAGGGAUGCUUCCGAAGGUAAGAUUGAGGC
Molecule: non-coding RNA, 32 nt
Filed under: Geobacter sulfurreducens PCA
Lineage: Bacteria; Pseudomonadati; Thermodesulfobacteriota; Desulfuromonadia; Geobacterales; Geobacteraceae
Source: RNAcentral